Molecule: long non-coding RNA, 1752 nt
Organism: Anolis carolinensis (green anole)
Lineage: Eukaryota; Metazoa; Chordata; Lepidosauria; Squamata; Anolidae
Exons: 2
Source: RefSeq, a predicted model, not a curated record
UUAAACUGGGAGUUCUAUCACUAGAAUUAGUAAGUCAGAGCAGCUGGGUGAGUCUCAGAGACAGAAACAACUGAUUAUUUAUUUAGUAUCAAAACAUUGCAUAAAUAAAUAAGUAUAAAACUGAUAAAGGGAGCAGAGGCAGCUAAAUAAUUUUAGACUGAUGUUGAGCACCGACCCCCCCCCCCCCCAGGUCAAAAUUAAUAAAGACAAUACCCUGACACAGACAACAAUGGACAUGGGCGCCAUGGGUGUCUGACACACCCUGAUGGGUCACUCACAAUACAAGCCCAUAAUCAUCAGGGACCUGAUGGCCCUGCUUUGUUCAUCUCAAAAGAGAGACAAUGUGAUUCAUUCAUAAAACUAUGUAUUCUUUGUCUAAAUCGUCAUCCAGCACCCUGUCAGCCAUUGGAGAGUGUGGACCACCCUCUAAUUGGCUGUCGGGUUCCACAGUUCCGCCUCACAGAGGGAAUCCUCCCAGCUGGUUGUGAUGCCAAGACCGGCUCCGCCAAUCAGCAUGAAGCCAGCCCCAGCUGAACGUGAACAGGAAAAACAAAAGACCCUACUGUAUAAAAAUGUCUGUUUUAUGAUUGUCGAACAUGUCCACUUCUUUGAGCGGUGUACCACUUGCUGACAUCACUUCUGGAUGGAUUAAAUAAAAUACCUCAGUGGCUUCUGCUUCAACUGGUGGAGGUGGUCACCUAAGAGGAGUUUUAACAUUAAAGAGGGAGGUAAGAGCAAGAAACUAACAGGAACGAACAGGAGCCUGGCAUGGGAGAGAAAAAGGCACCGCCGGCCAUUAGAACUGGCGUUCUUACAAAGAAGCCUAUUCUGUCUAUUACAUCUGGCUGCCGAACUGCCCUAAGGGACUAUAAGAACUGUCCUUGUCCCCCAUACCUCAUUGGAAGAGCAUUCUGGGGUCAAGUUUAGAACCGUGGGCCUGUGUGGCCCUCUACCAGAAACCUGGAUAAAAACUUCACCAUUGGUUGCUGGCUCAUUUUAAUGCUGCUUGGAGCUAGGGCCCUACUCCUUUGUGUUGCCGGCUCAACUGGGGGACCUCGCUGUCGACUGCUGGCUCGCCAGGGCUGUUGCUUCUUGCCGUUGGUCUGUUCUGGGGAGUCUUGCCGCCAGCUGCCAGCCUGCCUGGGUACUGCGGGUACUGGGGGGGCUCGGAGCUAUUGCUCCUCCUUGCCCUUCUCGCUGCUCCUCGCCGUCGGCCUGUCCUGGAGGAGGCCUCACCUGAUGCCGCUGGGGUUUGGAACUGUGGCCCCUUCCUGCUGUCGGUUUGCCCCUGGAGUUGCUGGCCACCUAUUGGACUUUCCACCAAGGCUGAACAUCAUGAAGUGCCUGCGUCAUCUGCUGUAGUAGCGACACUGUGCCCGAGGCCAUACAGUGGUGUUGAAGAGUCCCUACUGGCCUUUACCAACUUACCAUCGUUGGUGUGGGUAUACUACUGUUAUUGGUUUGGAACUACCAUUUGUCAUCAUUGGCUGGGAAUUACCAUCGCCCACUACCCACACCAGACUGAGGGCCAAUUUCCAUCUUUUGGACUCUGCCAUUGUGGUGUGUCAUCUCACUUACUGUCUAUGAAAACUGGGCUAGAAUAUUUCCUUGAACAUUUCCUAUUCCACCUAAUCCACCUGGUGACUUGUCUCAUCCAGAAGUGUGCAGUAACCAUCUUAUUGACUAACCCCUCGACUAAGCACUUUAUUCUGCUGCUGUUAUUUAGUGUUUAAUAUUAUAUUAUGAAUUUUA